RNAcentral lists this ribosomal RNA (266 nucleotides) under uncultured archaeon. RNAcentral describes it as "partial 16S ribosomal RNA". It matches the Rfam family "Archaeal small subunit ribosomal RNA", at positions 719 to 982 of the family's 1478-position model. The record is from RNAcentral.
ACACGACUACAUUAGAUACCCGUGUAGUCCCAGCCCUAAACGAUGCGCGUUAGGUGUAUCGGUGACCACGAGUCACCGAGGUGCCGAAGGGAAACCGUGAAACGUGCCGCCUGGGAAGUACGGUCGCAAGGCUGAAACUUAAAGGAACUUGGCGGGGGAGCACCACAACGGGUGGAGCUUGCGGUUUAAUUGGAUUCAACGCCGGAAAUCUUACCGGGACCGACAGCAACAUGAAGGCCAGGCUGAAGACUUUGCCGGAUUAGCUG